GAGCUGUUUCCCUGGAGGUUUGUCCUCGCCAAAGAGGAGAGGCGGCGAGUGGGGCUCGCGUUGCACAGUGGGGGUUGUAGUUCAGGUUCGGGUAGAGCAUACACAGAAGAGACCAAUAGCGAACUACAAGACCCAGAUAUCGUCAGGCUCUGCCCACCCUCUCCUCCAGCUUCUGCCCCUUGUUGAAAGCUCAUAAGAUUCGAAACUAAGAAAAUUUAACAGGACUGAUGAGCUUCUCCCUCCUCAGGUGACACAGCCCAUCUGCAGUUGUUGUGAGAGGAGAAUCUUCAGGGCGGCUGCCUGCAAACGUUCAGGGAACUGUGGUAACACAAGGCAGCUUGCAUAAGUCAGUGCUGUGCUAUGUGUGCCUUACUGUGCUAUGUGCACUUUUUGGUGACACAGCUGCCUGAGUCACUCGUGCUCCUUUGUUGAAGGAGAGAGAAAGGGAGAGGGAGAGGGAGAGGGAGAGGGAGAGGGGAGAGGGGAGAGGGGAGAGGGGAGAGGGGGGGUGUUCUGUAGGGACAUUAAAUGAGCAGGCAC
RNAcentral lists this long non-coding RNA (540 nucleotides) under Mus pahari (shrew mouse). Its description in RNAcentral is "lncRNA (MGP_PahariEiJ_G0006018.1)". Lineage: Eukaryota; Metazoa; Chordata; Mammalia; Rodentia; Muridae. The record is from RNAcentral.